AACUGAUACUACCUGCGGGAACCUGCGGAGGGAUCAUUACAGAGUUUUCUAAACUCCCAACCCUAUGUGAACUUACCUUUGUUGCCUCGGCGGGGCCUACCCGGUACCUCUCCCUUUUGGGAGAGACUACCCUGUAGCCCGCCGGUGGAUUUUCAAACUCUUGUUAUUUUAAUGAUAUCUGAGCGUCUUAUUUUAAUAAGUCAAAACUUUUAACAACGGAUCUCUAGAUCGGAAGAGCAC
RNAcentral lists this unclassified non-coding RNA (240 nucleotides) under soil metagenome. RNAcentral describes it as "partial contains 5.8S ribosomal RNA, internal transcribed spacer 2, and large subunit ribosomal RNA". The record is from RNAcentral.